RNAcentral lists this ribosomal RNA (443 nucleotides) under uncultured bacterium. RNAcentral's name for it is "partial 16S ribosomal RNA". It matches the Rfam family "Bacterial small subunit ribosomal RNA", at positions 338 to 795 of the family's 1533-position model. The record is from RNAcentral.
CCUACGGGGUGCAGCAGUGGGGGAUAUUGGACAAUGUGGGAAACCCUGAUCCAGCGACGCCGCGUGAGUGAAGAAGUAUUUCGGUAUGUAAAGCGCUGUCAGCAGGGAAGAAAGAAAUGACGGUGCCUGACCAACAAACCCCGGCUAACUACGUUCCAGCAGCCGCGGUAAUACGUAGGGGGCAAGCGUUAUCCCGAAUUACUGGGUGUAAAGGGAGCGUAGACGGUGAUGCAAGUCUGGAGGGAAAGGCUGGGGACCAAACCCCGGACUGCUCUGGAAACUGUGUAACUUGAGUGCAGGAGAGGUAAGCGGAAUUCCUAGUGUAGCGGUGAAAUGCGUAGAUAUUAGGAGGAACACCAGAGGCGAAGGCGGCUUACUGGACUGUAACUGACGUUGAGGCUCGAAAGCGUGGGGAGCAAACAGGAUUAGAUACCCGAGUAGUC